Molecule: long non-coding RNA, 1559 nt
Filed under: Rattus norvegicus (Norway rat)
Lineage: Eukaryota; Metazoa; Chordata; Mammalia; Rodentia; Muridae
Description: long non-coding RNA NONRATT024889
Source: RNAcentral
UGCCCCUCUUGGUGCCCCUCUGCCUCCCAGAAUGCCUAGCAGUGGGAGUACUCCAUGGUCCAGGAUAGUCCUUUCUUUCCCUUCAAACUUCCCCAAAGUGUUCUGAGCUGCUUUUCUCUCAGGACCAACACUGCUCCAGAGAUUUAACUUCUUAGAAAAGGCGGGGGGGGGGGGGGGGUGUGCUUCUGUUGACCUGCAGGAGCCAUUUCCAGGGUAUGGUUUUAGGUAGUGUGGCCUAGGGUCAUAAAGGAGCUAUUUCUGCUCAGGAGAGUUAGGCUUCUCAGGACCCUGCAGGGUGAGAGCCUGCUUGCUAGGACAGAGGGAACAUUUUCCAGAAUUAGGAGAACUGGAGUACGUGUACUUUCCGUUGCUUGUGUGGUAAAUAUCACAGACGGGGCCUGCCUGAGCCUUUCCCAUGGUCCCUGCACUGAGCUAUGGGUGCAUGGCCUGCAUGGACCACACCCCAACACCACCCACAUGGCUUUGGGGCUGUGUGGCUGCUGCUCAACCCAACUUUAUAAGCAAGGCCUUGGGUUUUUCCCUAAUACCUUUUCACUAAGAAGGCAACUUAGACACGAAGGCAAGUUAUCUUUUAGAGACUAAAGGAAUCUAAGCCUUGCGCUUAAAAACUGUCUUUCUUCUCUUGCUGGCCACAUCUUUUAUCCCAUGCUUGGCUUGAAUAGGAGUCCGUUAGUUUCUUUAUUGCUCCCCACUGACAUCAUCGCUGACCACCCCUGAGGUACCUUAAUCCUAGUUGUGGAUUGGGAGACACUUCCUUGGAGUCUUUUGAGAGCCAGCAUCAGAACCAGAUGCCGCUUGGAUACGUCUGUCUCUCUCCCUGGGGACAGAAGAAAAAGCCAGAGUUCAAUUCUGCAGACUCAAUGGCUGCUCAGUCUUCUCUGCCUUUCUUUUUCCUCAUACCAUGGCUGUGUGGCAGGGACAUGCUGCUUUUAGAGAGCCUGCCGCUUGUGUGCCCUCUUCUUGGUAGAAUUGAUUUAAAUUUACAUCCAGUAGGAUAGUGGUUUGCCUGUUAACAGGAAAUGGAAUCUGAUCUUGCCUCAGAGGCGGGAAGUUUAGAUGGUGAUUGCAGGAGAGUCUGUCCUUCCAUCACAAGGCUGGGGAGAGAGGCAAAAGCACAGUGGGUGGGAGCUAGGGGAGGAGCCUAGUGUCCAUUCUUGCCUUCUGAGCCUCUGGUGUCUGAUAGCACUGUCUUAGCCUUGUUCUGUUCUCCUUCCCUGUUGUAAACCAGGAUCAAAAGGAGCCAACAAACCUAUUAAGGCCAACCAGUCCCCACCCCCACCAUCAAAGCACCCAGGGCUCCAGCUUCAUAGGCAUGAGGGUGACACCCUGCUGACAGAAUCCAGUAGGCAGGAAUGUGUUUGUGGUUUAGAAGUUAACACAUUGAUCAUAAAGAGUAUAAAAAAUGGAUUAACAGAAAAUACCUGAUCCAGUAGCAGCUGCUGUUUACCCCGUGCCGAGCCUGUUUCUUGUUUUCUCCUUACCUCGAAGACUAAAAUAAAUGGUUUAAAUGUCCUCAUCGAAAAACCUAGACAUGUCCC